UACGGAGGAUCCAAGCGUUAUCCGGAUUUAUUGGGUUUAAAGGGUGCGUAGGCGGCCCUGUAAGUCAGUGCUGAAAUAUCCCGGCUUAACCGGGAGGGUGGCAUUGAUACUGCGGGGCUAGAGUACAGAUGAGGUAGGCGGAAUUGACGGUGUAGCGGUGAAAUGCUUAGAUAUCGUCAAGAACACCUAUAGCGAAGGCAGCUUACUAGGCUGUAACUGACGCUGAGGCACGAAAGUGUGGGGAUCAAACAGG
This 253-nucleotide ribosomal RNA is filed under the name uncultured bacterium. RNAcentral's name for it is "partial 16S ribosomal RNA". It matches the Rfam family "Bacterial small subunit ribosomal RNA", at positions 524 to 776 of the family's 1533-position model. The record is from RNAcentral.